GACGAACGCUGGCGGCGUGCCUAACACAUGCAAGUUGAGCGACGAACCAGGGCUUGCCCUGGGGCAAAGCAGCGAACGGGUGAGUAACACGUGGGUAACCUGCCCCGAUAACCGGGACAACCCGAGGAAACUCGGGCUAAUACCGGAUGUGCUCGUCAGACCCAAGUCUGACGCGUAAAGGAAGCUUCGGCCUCCGUAUCGGGAGGGGCCCGCGGCCCAUUAGUUAGUUGGUGAGGUAACGGCUCACCAAGACCGCGAUGGGUAGCUGGUCUGAGAGGACGAUCAGCCACACUGGGACUGAGACACGGCCCAGACUCCUACGGGUGGCAG
RNAcentral lists this ribosomal RNA (330 nucleotides) under uncultured Actinomycetes bacterium. Its description in RNAcentral is "bacterial SSU rRNA". It matches the Rfam family "Bacterial small subunit ribosomal RNA", at positions 28 to 351 of the family's 1533-position model. The record is from RNAcentral. Lineage: Bacteria; Bacillati; Actinomycetota; Actinomycetes.